CUUAUCAAGAGCGGUUGAGGGACUAGGCCCUGAGAUGCCCGGCAACCUGUUCGUACUACCAUACGAUAUCAAGGUGCCAAAUCCUACAGAUUUUUUCUGAAAGAUAG
RNAcentral lists this non-coding RNA (107 nucleotides) under uncultured Eubacterium sp. Its description in RNAcentral is "SAM riboswitch (S box leader)". It matches the Rfam family "SAM riboswitch aptamer (S box leader)". From Rfam's summary of the family: The SAM riboswitch is found upstream of a number of genes which code for proteins involved in methionine or cysteine biosynthesis in Gram-positive bacteria. The SAM riboswitch acts at the level of transcription termination control. Lineage: Bacteria; Bacillati; Bacillota; Clostridia; Eubacteriales; Eubacteriaceae. The record is from RNAcentral.